GACGAACGCUGGCGGUGUGCUUAACACAUGCAAGUCGAACGGUAAGGCCCUUUCGGGGGUACACGAGUGGCGAACGGGUGAGUAAUACGUGAGUAACCUGCCCUCAUCUCUGGGAUAACAGUCGGAACCGGUUGCUAAUACUGGUUAUGAGCUUGCCAGCCAUCUUGUGGGUUGGAAAGAUUUUUUUUGGUUGGGGAGGGACUCGCGGCCUAUCCGCUUGUUGGUGAGGGAGUGGCUCACCAGGGCUUCGACGGGUAGCCGGCCUGAGAGGGCGACCGGCCACAUUGGAACUGUGAGACGGCCCACACUCCUACGGGAGGCAGCAGGGGGGAAUGUUGGACAAUGGACGGAAGUCUGAUGCAGCAACGCCGCGUGCGGGAUGACGGCCUUCGGGUUGUAAACCGCUUUCAAUUGUGACGAAGCUUUUUUGUGACGGUAGCAGUAGAAGAAGCACCGGCUAACUACGUG
This 468-nucleotide ribosomal RNA is filed under the name uncultured bacterium. Its description in RNAcentral is "partial 16S ribosomal RNA". It matches the Rfam family "Bacterial small subunit ribosomal RNA", at positions 28 to 507 of the family's 1533-position model. The record is from RNAcentral.